Molecule: ribosomal RNA, 651 nt
Filed under: uncultured Mycoplasma sp.
Lineage: Bacteria; Bacillati; Mycoplasmatota; Mollicutes; Mycoplasmatales; Mycoplasmataceae
Description: partial 16S ribosomal RNA
Source: RNAcentral
CUUAGAAGGUGUUACCCGCUUUCGGACUACCUCGUUAUGGUACACUUGCUGCUUCCAGAAAAACUAACAUUUCAAGAAAAUACUCCCUAUUGUUGACUAUCAUGGAGUACUUAUUCACUGUCGUUUGAUACACGGUCGUCGACGCCAUUAUGUAUCCAGCGUUCGUAAUAAGCCUAAAUAACCCGCAUUUCGUUCGCGUCCGCCUACACAUUCAAGACACAAUUUUCAUCGAUGAAUUAUCAACAAACGUGGCUUAUGAUGUACAGAUCUUACACCAUCCUUCAAAACCUUAAUUUGUACCUCGCCACCUUACACAUCUAUACAAAUUCUUGUGGCCUCCGCUUCCGCUUUUGAAUCCGGUAUUAACUGCGAAUCCGAACUUUCACACCCCUCGUUUACCCUAAUCUAUGGGGUCAUCAGGUGUGGCAUUUGCUACCCAUAAUCCAUAACCCCGAACUCGGAGUCACGACAUCGAUUGCACAAUUUAUGGGGCGGACCCAUCAUGUAUACGUUUAUACUUUGAGUUUCCUUAACUGCCCCUGGACUUGUUCACCACCUCGUACAACGAAUUAAGCUAUUAUGUGCUUUUUGGAAUGGUUCCAAACUGUAGGAAGCGUUUCGAUAUCUUUAUAUCACCUCCAAUAGCUCCAU